UUUAGCAUGUUCCCUUCUUUCAAAAGCUGUUGAAGUGGGUGACUUGUCAUUGAGGAAUCCCAUAAAAACAGUGAUGGUCAAAUUAAAUAUGUGAAGCACAAAUUCUUUAUAAUCCAUCUUGAAGAAAGUUUUGCCAUAGUUUUUAAAAUGUUCACCCAAAAUCAACAUUGUGUUUGCUGUCAUGAUUUCUGAAUACUUGUCAAUAAUCUGAUGGAUUCAGUACCGGCAAAGUAAAAUUUUUGCAGGAUUGCAGACAUUAAUCAAUGCACAUGAAUUGUGAGAGUUUAAUGUUAAACAAAGAUUUCAUAAAACAGAAAAACAUCAAAGAGUUCAGCCAUUUUUUCCAAUCAACACCUGGAGAACACUGUUACGUCUUUAUUAUACUUAAAAUCAGAAAAAAACAACAAGGGUGAAUAAAAUGCAAGACACGGCUGUAGUAUGUUCUGUAUGAUCCAGACAAGAUGUUCCAACUUGCUUCGGAGAAGUUGACCCAUGCUUUUAAAACCUAUUAAAAGAAAUCAUAUGUCAUUGUUAAAACCAACACAUCAACACAGUUCAUGUUCAUUUUGAGGUAAAUAAAUAUAUAAAAAUGUUGUUUUAACUAUGCCAUUAACUAUAUGUUCAAGAGAUUACACUUGAUUUUCCACUUGUCUGAAUUGUUAAAUUAUACAAUAAAUUAUACUUUAUGUACGUUUAUUAUUUUUUAAUUCUUAAACAUAUCUUCAAACACCAUCUGUAUAAUUUCUAUUGUUGCUCAAGGAAAACCUAUAGCAUUAGAAGACAUCAUGUAAGUGAUAUUUGCUGGCACAUUUGUGGUUGGCUCUUGAAUACUUGUCUGUUCGCACACAAAGAAAAAAAAACAUCGAACUUUUUAGACGGUGCCUAACGAAUAUACAGCACUACGUUGGACAUUCAGCGGACAUUCGCUUCUAAAUAUGCCAUAAAAACAAUAUUUGGACAUUUUGAUCGAUUUUGAAACCAUUCUGUUUGGUUCACAAUGAUGUCGCUGAUCAGAAUAUGCCAAGAAAAACUUUCUUGCACAUAUAAUUUGAAAGUUAUUGAACGCGGAAAUGUGGGAAAAGUGGCGAAUGUGCGAAUAUAAAACCAACUUUACCCAAGUGUUCGCUGCAUUUUCAGUCAGGACAACCAGCAUUAGAAAUGCUGGAUACUCAUCCUGACUGGGCACCAUCUUUGCUUCUGGGCCACAAUGAAGUGAAAGGGAUGAACAAAGAGAGGUUUGCACGUCAGUUAAGAAAAUACCUCAAACAUCAGGUAAUUCGCAAGAGGCCAGGAGAGGAGAAAGAACAAGAAGAAAGUUGUCACAGUCUGCUGUGCUCUUACAAACAUGUGUCCAAGUGUUGUGCAGUGAUUGCUAAAUCAACUGGUUUGUAAAAACGUUUGUUAAAAGUUGUACAAAGCAAGAGGUGUUGUGUAUUGUAUAUUCCUUGAUGAUUUGUAGGAUAGCUGAUGAAUGAUGUUGAAUUUGUGGUUUAUGUUAGCAGAUGAUAAAGACAGGCCACAUUGCAUGAA
Long non-coding RNA from Carassius auratus (goldfish), 1530 nucleotides. RefSeq lists it as uncharacterized. The transcript is spliced from 2 exons. The record is from RefSeq and is a predicted model, not a curated record. NCBI's taxonomy places the organism in Eukaryota, Metazoa, Chordata, Actinopteri, Cypriniformes, Cyprinidae.